RNAcentral lists this ribosomal RNA (243 nucleotides) under uncultured bacterium. RNAcentral describes it as "partial 16S ribosomal RNA". It matches the Rfam family "Bacterial small subunit ribosomal RNA", at positions 527 to 769 of the family's 1533-position model. The record is from RNAcentral.
GUAUGGUGCAAGCGUUAUCCGGAUUUACUGGGUGUAAAGGGAGCGUAGGCGGGACGUUAAGUCAGUUGUGAAAGUUUGCGGCUCAACCGUAAAAUUGCAGUUGAUACUGGCGUCCUUGAGUGCGGCAGAGGCAGGCGGAAUUCGUGGUGUAGCGGUGAAAUGCUUAGAUAUCACGAAGAACUCCGAUUGCGAAGGCAGCUUGCUGGACCGUAACUGACGCUGAUGCUCGAAAGUGCGGGUAUC